RNAcentral lists this ribosomal RNA (773 nucleotides) under uncultured Neocallimastigales. Its description in RNAcentral is "partial large subunit ribosomal RNA". It matches the Rfam family "Eukaryotic large subunit ribosomal RNA", at positions 24 to 637 of the family's 3401-position model. The record is from RNAcentral. Lineage: Eukaryota; Fungi; Neocallimastigomycota; Neocallimastigomycetes; Neocallimastigales.
UACGACUACAUAUCAGGCAUAUCAAUAAGCGGAGGAAAAGAAACUAACUAGGAUUCCCUUAGUAACGGCGAGUGAAGCGGGAAGAGCUCAAAUUUGAAAUCUUCAAGGUUUACCUUGACGAAUUGUAGUUUAAAGAAGUGUUUUCUGUUGAAGUUUUGGUAAAAGUUCUUUGGAAUAGGACAUCAUAGAGGGUGAGAAUCCCGUAUUUGACCAUUAUUUUCAGCUGUGUGAUACACUUUCAAAGAGUCGGAUUGUUUGGGAAUGCAGUCCAAAAUGGGUGGUAAAUUUCAUCUAAAGCUAAAUAUUGGCGAGAGACCGAUAGCGAACAAGUACCGUGAGGGAAAGAUGAAAAGAACUUUGAAAAGAGAGUUAAACAGUACGUGAAAUUGUCAAAAGGGAAGCGUUUGACACCAGUGUUGUUUUUCCGAAAAUCAAUUAUAAAUGUUUUGUUUCUGAGGAGUGAUGACUUCAUCGGCUUCCUUCUCUCUUCACGAAACUUUUGUAAUGCACUUUUCGGUUAACAAGUCAACAUCAAUUUCUUUUGUUGUAAAAGAGUAUUCGGAAGGUGGCUUUCUUUUCGGAGAAAGUGUUUAUAGCCCUAUACUUCUACAAUCGGAGAGAUUGAGGUCUGCAGCGUAGAUCCUUCGGGGUUAGAUACAUUUGUGCUAAGUUAUAGCUUUUCUUAGACAACUUGUUGACUAUGUUUAGUCUUGUAGCUUACUCGCUUAUGCUAUUUUACCUACGCUUAGGAUGUUGAGCGCAUGUCUCUCUCU